This 250-nucleotide unclassified non-coding RNA is filed under the name Glomeraceae sp. RNAcentral describes it as "partial contains 5.8S ribosomal RNA and internal transcribed spacer 2". The stretch from base 1 to 65 matches the Rfam family "5.8S ribosomal RNA", at positions 84 to 154 of the family's 154-position model. Lineage: Eukaryota; Fungi; Glomeromycota; Glomeromycetes; Glomerales; Glomeraceae. The record is from RNAcentral.
GUGAAUCAUCAAAUCUUUGAACGCAAAUUGCACUCUCUUCGGAGAGUAUGCCUGUUUGAGGGUCAGUAUUAAUAAAAAUCGGUUUGUUCCUUCUUUGUGACGCUCCGGAGUUUGGGUCAUCUUAAUAUUCUUUAGUUUUUAUGAGUCUUAAAAUUGACUUUUUUUGCGCAUUAUUCGUCUUACAUAUAUUUUUUUUUUAUUCGUUUAUUCUUAUUGCCAAAUUCUUAUUAGAUGCGUUAUAAUCGUGUGU